AUAACAUUUUUCGAAAGAAAAAAUCUGUACUAAUCAGUUUAAUAUCUGAUAUGUCCCCUAUCCAGGGACCAUAUAUUAAAUAGCUUUUUGGAACAGGGAGAUGGAACAAGGGCUUGCUCUGUCCACUCUACGCAUCAGCCUAAUAUUGCAGCACUUCUAGGAUUGGUGCACUUCAU
This 176-nucleotide small nuclear RNA is filed under the name Cyprinodon variegatus (sheepshead minnow). RNAcentral describes it as "U2 spliceosomal RNA (ENSCVAG00000015598.1)". It matches the Rfam family "U2 spliceosomal RNA". From Rfam's summary of the family: U2 is a small nuclear RNA (snRNA) component of the spliceosome (involved in pre-mRNA splicing). Complementary binding between U2 snRNA (in an area lying towards the 5' end but 3' to hairpin I) and the branchpoint sequence (BPS) of the intron results the bulging out of an unpaired adenosine, on the BPS, which initiates a nucleophilic attack at the intronic 5' splice site, thus starting the first of two transesterification reactions that mediate splicing. The record is from Rfam by way of RNAcentral. Lineage: Eukaryota; Metazoa; Chordata; Actinopteri; Cyprinodontiformes; Cyprinodontidae.